RNAcentral lists this long non-coding RNA (1008 nucleotides) under Homo sapiens (human). RNAcentral's name for it is "HSALNT0010200". The record is from RNAcentral. Lineage: Eukaryota; Metazoa; Chordata; Mammalia; Primates; Hominidae.
AGUUUUUAUUGGUGGGUUUUGAGGGAAAGAAAUAGAAAAAAAUGCUUUUACUUAGUCAUUUUUAACCAUCACUCUCAGAUAAUAUUUCUUAAACCAAAAAUAAAUGAAACCCUUGGUUAUAGAAUUGGGGUAGAAUCUGGACAUAGGUAAAUAACCUAGAUAUUAGAAUGAUAAUCAUUAAAUGACAAAAUGGAAAGAAGUCAAUGCCCAUGGGAAUUACCAGAACAAAGAAGUUUUUAAAAUGCAGCAUAUUCAGGUUACAGCAUUUUUUUAAUCUGAGGAAUGAUGUGGUGGAAAAAACAAUCUUCAAAAACAGUAAAUGUAAUUUAUACUCUUGAUUUAGCUUUUUAAACAGCAGAUAGAUCUCCAGUAAUAUUCUGAAGGGGUCUUGGACUUGCCGCACAAAAAGCAUGAGGGGUUUCAGCUGCAGUUUCAGAUCAUUUCCAUCAAAUAGGAGUGUCAGUUGGCCCAUCACAGCUUUAAACCUUGUUUAUAUCAUAUUUUCAGGCAUCUUAUUCUAAAAUAGAUCAAUUUCAUCUAUGUUGAAGAUCCAUUGAAGCAAAUAAACCUUUUCGUGAUAAUCACAGCAAGGGUAAUAGGGAACUUCUUGGCAGUAACAUUUCCACCUUCAGCGUGCUGACCACUCACUUUGAUGUUGUGCAGAUUGGAGUAAGUUCCAUCUGGGGCUUGAUGAAAGUUUCAUCAGUGUUCCACUAUGCUUAGCUUUUAGGUUCUCAAAUUCUUAACCUUCCAUUGAAUUUACAUUAAGAUAAUGCACACUCAGAAUUUACUUUGAUCCUCUAGUCACACACUCAAAAGAUUUUCCAUCAAUCACAUUUUUUCAUCUGUUAAUUAUAGUUGAAUAUAUAUGUGCUGUACGUUUUUGCAUUAUGACUGAUUCACUCUGUAUUUCAGAAUUUUCUCCCAGCAUUUAUCCACAAGGUCCUUGGAAAUCCCACAGUACUAGCUUCUGAUAGGUCCAUUACAGCUGUGAAAAAUGAAAAUGCA